GACGGCAGCACGGACUUCGGUCUGGUGGCGAGUGGCGAACGGGUGAGUAAUGUAUCGGAACGUGCCCAGUAGCGGGGGAUAACUACGCGAAAGCGUAGCUAAUACCGCAUACGCCCUACGGGGGAAAGCAGGGGAUCGCAAGACCUUGCACUAUUGGAGCGGCCGAUAUCGGAUUAGCUAGUUGGUGGGGUAACGGCUCACCAAGGCGACGAUCCGUAGCUGGUUUGAGAGGACGACCAGCCACACUGGGACUGAGACACGGCCCAGACUCCUACGGGAGGCAGCAGUGGGGAAUUUUGGACAAUGGGGGAAACCCUGAUCCAGCCAUCCCGCGUGUGCGAUGAAGGCCUUCGGGUUGUAAAGCACUUUUGGCAGGAAAGAAACGUCAUGGGUUAAUACCCCGUGAAACUGACGGUACCUGCAGAAUAAGCACCGGCUAACUACGUGCCAGCAGCCGCGGUAAUACGUAGGGUGCAAGCGUUAAUCGGAAUUACUGGGCGUAAAGCGUGCGCAGGCGGUUCGGAAAGAAAGAUGUGAAAUCCCAGAGCUUAACUUUGGAACUGCAUUUUUAACUACCGGGCUAGAGUGUGUCAGAGGGAGGUGGAAUUCCGCGUGUAGCAGUGAAAUGCGUAGAUAUGCGGAGGAACACCGAUGGCGAAGGCAGCNNNCUGGGAUAACACUGACGCUCAUGCACGAAAGCGUGGGGAGCAAACAGGAUUAGAUACCCUAGUAGUCCACGCCCUAAACGAUGUCAACUAGCUGUUGGGGCCUUCGGGCCUUGGUAGCGCAGCUAACGCGUGAAGUUGACCGCCUGGGGAGUACGGUCGCAAGAUUAAAACUCAAAGGAAUUGACGGGGACCCGCACAAGCGGUGGAUGAUGUGGAUUAAUUCGAUGCANCGCGAAAAACCUUACCU
RNAcentral lists this ribosomal RNA (915 nucleotides) under uncultured bacterium. Its description in RNAcentral is "bacterial SSU rRNA". It matches the Rfam family "Bacterial small subunit ribosomal RNA", at positions 65 to 976 of the family's 1533-position model. The record is from RNAcentral.